CUACUUCAAUUUGUUGGGGACAGAUAAAAUGGAUAUGGGUAUCAAUUCCUCCCGCAGUGAGAAUCAUUCCUUCACCAGCUAAAGCUUCCGUUCCCGGUCCAAUAAUGAUAUCUAUAUUAUCUUGAAUAUAGGGAUUUCCGGCUUUGCCAAUUUUGUAAAUUUUACCAUUUUUAAUGCCAAUAUCUGCUUUGACAAUUCCCCACCAAUCGAGAAUUAAAGCAUUAGUAAUCACUAAAUCUACCGCACCAUCAUUAUUAGAAAUUGGCGAUUGUCCCAUACCAUCUCUAA
Molecule: non-coding RNA, 288 nt
Organism: Anabaena sp. CRKS33
Lineage: Bacteria; Bacillati; Cyanobacteriota; Cyanophyceae; Nostocales; Nostocaceae
Source: Rfam